UGGGAUGUGUUUACGGCAGCCUGACUGGC
This 29-nucleotide non-coding RNA is filed under the name Mus musculus (house mouse). The record is from RNAcentral. Lineage: Eukaryota; Metazoa; Chordata; Mammalia; Rodentia; Muridae.